This is a long non-coding RNA of Anolis carolinensis (green anole), 3560 nucleotides long. RefSeq lists it as uncharacterized. The record is from RefSeq and is a predicted model, not a curated record. Lineage: Eukaryota; Metazoa; Chordata; Lepidosauria; Squamata; Anolidae. The transcript has 2 exons.
UAUAUUCCUAUAAGAAAUAAGGAAAAAAGAAGCCACUCUACUGUUAUUCUAAUUAUUAAGAUAAAUAGCACUACCAACCUUGUAUUGUAACUAAUAAUAUCUGAUAGAUGGUGAGAUUAAAAAAAAAAUUGACUACAGAAAGGUGUUCAAAAAAGUUGUGAAGUGAAGGAGGAAUUUGCAUGUGGGAGGUGAUUGGCUGGCCCAUUCUAUUGUUAUUCUCACCUCACCCAAUCAUCACCCUCAUGCAAAUUCCCCCUUCCCCACAAUCCAAUCCUGCCACUCAAUCUGUCUAUGAACCCAUUCCUCUGAAGCGCACCUCCCUCUGCCUCCUCCACCAACCAAUCAUCACCCACAUGCAAAUUCUUCACAACCCACAUCUGACAUUCAAUCUGCAAAUACACCCCGCCCACACAAGCACCCUUUCCUCCCUCUCCCGCAGCUAACCACCAUCCCUAUACAGUUUAUUAAUUACUAGAUCAUAGACCUUUCACAUAUAAAACAUAAAUACCAGUACAAUAUAUAAGCACAACCUUAUAAAACAUAUGAAAUAUUACAUAAAACCAAUUGGUAUACAGAUACAGCAAUAAAAUACAACAAAAAAAUACAAUAUAGCACAUCAAAUAUAAACAAUAUUUCAAUUUAGAUAAAAUUCAGUUAGCUAAGUCCAUCCUCAUAGCAAUCAACUGCAAUAUCCUUUCUGACACAUCAUUGGAAUGUAGAUUCAACAGAAUAAAUCCCAAGAAUUUGGAUCUUGAUUCUGAAUACAAUGUGCAGAAGCGCAAAUAAUGUGAUACGUCCUCAAUUUCUGGGGUACCACAAAUACACAACUGGAUGGCCAUAGGAAUUUGAGAAUAUCUGCCAUCAAUCAUGGUAUGAUUUGAAGUCAAAGGGCUGUAAUGCUUGCCUACAUACGUUGUGGAAAUGUAAGCUUUUCCAGAUAAACAGCCCUUUUGAUAGUUCAACUGAUAUAGUCAAUACUACUUUGAAAAAAUUGAGUUAUUAAGAACUUGUCUAUCCAGUUGUGUGCCAUGCUUAUAAAUAUAUUUAUGAAGCUUCUCUUUUGAGCUCAAGACAGAAAAAUUGUCAAGCAGAGUAGGAUAUAAUUGCAAGAACUUUUGAUAUCUUUAACUUUUUAAUAUCUUUGUAGCUUGACAACUGUUCAAAACAUAAUUAGGAAAAGACCUUAAUUGAAGAAUAUUUUAAAAUUCUGCAAUGCAUUAAUUCGAUUUUAUUUAACUGCUGUGGAAUUAUUAUUGAAUGAAUGCAAGAUUUAAUAGAAGGCAAACUAAACCUUGCCUGAAUCAGGGCUUCAGAUCUGGGAGAAAUCCCCUGACCUGACACUGUCGUCCUCAUUGUAAUCAAUAGGAACUUGGCAUGUCAAGCGAACCCAUAGAUUUUUGACAACAACCGGAGUGCCAGGUAUAAGUACUGACAGUGUCUUGGGAAAUGUCAUUUCACCUAAGGGCCCUGCCUUCUCCAGCCAAUCCUGACCUAUAUGCAAAUUCCCUUUCCACCUCACAAUCCCCACCUGCCACUCAAUUUGCAUAUAAAUCCCUCCCAUCACAAUCCGCUCUUUCUACUCAAUCUGUAUAUCUGCCCCUCCCCUUGGGAUUGUGACCUCCAACCACCAAAGAGACCCCCUGAUCCUCCUCUCCUCACUGGGGACCCCAACCUUGUGUCUUGGGGCCAGGAAUUCCCUCAGAAAGGGAGGGGGGCUGAGGAUCUUGUGCAAAAUUGGAGGCUCUGGGGGUAUCAUGGCAGUCCCACAAACUUCACUUGCAAAAUCCUCGGUGCUUUGCUGAUCUUCCCCUUCCACCCCAGCAGUCGAACCCGCUGCUAAUGAAAGUUACAAUUUGGGGCAGACAGAUGGGGCUGUUGCAACCCAGAUAAUUCUCCUCCUCUAGACCCUGUCAGUUCCUCUGGGUAGUGUUUCUACUGCUGCCACCUCCAGGCUAAGGGAGAAGAAGAAAGACCAAGUCAGUUUAUCCAUUUCCGCUAUUCUAAAAACUUUUGCAAUCCAGUCUGACAUUGUCGGAAGGUGUGACUACUUCCAAUGUUGUGCAUACUGUGGCAUCCAUGCUGCAUUUAUCAUGUUGUGCAAUACUUGAUUUUGUUUAUUUGGCAUUCCCAAUAAAAAUAAUUCAGGCUCUACUGGUAUCUUUGAUUUUAAAAAUUCCUGCAAUGUUUUUUCUACCUUGCCCUAGAAUUCCCUUGCUUUUUAAAUAAGAUCACCACUUGUAGAAUAAAGUUCAUUCUCUUUUCUUUCAUUUCCAACACUUAUUGUUUUUCCCUUAUACGUUUUAUCAAGUUUUGUUGGGGUUAAGUACCACCUGUUCAUUUUAUAAAAGGUUUUUCUAAGGUCAUAACACAAAAUUUUCUUUAAGUCAUUUGACCACAUUUUUCAAAUAUAUCUAAUUCUAUGUUGUGUCCAGCAUUUUGUGCCCAUUUAUUCAGCUUCUCUUUUGAGUUCAAGAUAGAAAAAUCUUCAAGCAGAUAAUAGGACAGGAUUGCAGCAACUUUUAAUAUCUUGAUUUCUUUGAUAUCUUUGCAGUUUGACAGCUAUUUACAAUAUAAUUAGAGGAGACUCUAAUUGAAGAAUCAGAUUUCUGCAGUAAUUUAAAAAAAAUGAAUCAGUGUGAGAUCUAAUAGAAGGCAAACAAUUCUCUGCUUGAACCAGAGCUGCAGGAAUACCAGAUGGUAGUAUUACGUGUCUUGAGAAAUGUCUUCCCACCUAAGGACCCCUGCCUCCUCCAGCCAAUCCCCACUUAUAUGCAAAUUCUCUCUCUACUUCACAAUUCCCACCAACCAGGCAAUCUGCAUAAAUAUCCCUCCCACCCAUGAGCCCCCUUCCUCCUUUUAUCUCACAAUCAGCUCCUGCAACCUAAUUUGCAUAUUCAGCCCUCCUCUUGGGAUUGGGACCUCCAACAACUGAAGAAUUUAGUUGGGGGCUGUAAUGAAGUAUGAGUUGUAUUCAUAUUUGUUGUGUUUAACUAUGUGCUUGUGGUUUGGUUGGGUAGGUGUGAGAUGGCGGCAGCCAUUUAGUGGCUCUCCUCUGAGGCAGUUGCCAUGGAGAUGUGGGUGGAGCCAUCUGCUGAGGGGAGGAGAAGUGAAGAGGUUUUUAAAAGUGAAGUCUUAGUCUGUGCUCUGAUGAGGCAUAGGGAAGAUUGAUUCCAGGUUGAUGGGAUCAAGGACACUCAAGUGUUCAUUUUGAGUCGGUUUCAAAUAAAUUUGGUGACUUAUUUAAUGUAGUCUGUGUCCUGGAAAGGCACAGAGAAUCUGUGAUAUUAUAUCACAGGGGUGACUGUGGUUUGAAGUCACUGGAUAGUCCAGGUUUCAGACUUUGGGAACCAAUCCCAGCUGGACUUACAGGAUCAUUGAAGUAACAGUUUAAAAGGAGCAGAGGAAGAAGUUUUAACUACUUUAAGUAAAAGAAGUGAUACUUUAGAGAGUUUGAUUCAUCUCAUUCUAGUAUUGUAACUGUUAAUAAGAAUACCUCUAAGUGAAACAUCUUUUGUAACCACCAAGCUUGUGCCUGAAUAAACUUGAUAUUGUUCUUUUUA